UGGGGAAUUUUGGACAAUGGGCGAAAGCCUGAUCCAGCAAUGCCGCGUGUGUGAAGAAGGCCUUCGGGUUGUAAAGCACUUUUGUCCGGAAAGAAAUCCUUGGCUCUAAUACAGUCGGGGGAUGACGGUACCGGAAGAAUAAGCACCGGCUAACUACGUGCCAGCAGCCGCGGUAAUACGUAGGGUGCAAGCGUUAAUCGGAAUUACUGGGCGUAAAGCGUGCGCAGGCGGUUUGCUAAGACCGAUGUGAAAUCCCCGGGCUCAACCUGGGAACUGCAUUGGUGACUGGCAGGCUAGAGUAUGGCAGAGGGGGGUAGAAUUCCACGUGUAGCAGUGAAAUGCGUAGAGAUGUGGAGGAAUACCGAUGGCGAAGGCAGCCCCCUGGGCCAAUACUGACGCUCAUGCACGAAAGCAUGGGGAGCAAACAGGAUUAGAUACCCUGGUAGUCCACGCCCUAAACGAUGUCAACUAGUUGUUGGGGAUUCAUUUCCUUAGUAACGUAGCUAACGCGUGAAGUUGACCGCCUGGGGAGUACGGUCGCAAGAUUAAAACUUAAA
Molecule: ribosomal RNA, 557 nt
Filed under: uncultured bacterium
Lineage: Bacteria
Description: partial 16S ribosomal RNA
Rfam family: Bacterial small subunit ribosomal RNA
Source: RNAcentral